Molecule: ribosomal RNA, 784 nt
Filed under: uncultured bacterium
Lineage: Bacteria
Description: SSU rRNA
Rfam family: Bacterial small subunit ribosomal RNA
Source: RNAcentral
CACAGUGUAGCAAUACAUGGGUGGCGACCGGCAAACGGGUGCGGAACACGUACGCAACCUUCCUUCAGGCGGGGAAUAGCCCAGAGAAAUUUGGAUUAAUACCCCAUAAUAUUUUGAGAUGGCAUCAUCUUAUUAUUAAAGCUACGGCACCUGGAGAUGGGCGUGCGGCUGAUUAGGUAGUUGGCGGGGUAAUGGCCCACCAAGCCUACGAUCAGUAGCUGAUGUGAGAGCAUGAUCAGCCACACGGGCACUGAGACACGGGCCCGACUCCUACGGGAGGCAGCAGUAAGGAAUAUUGGUCAAUGGACGCAAGUCUGAACCAGCCAUGCCGCGUGGAGGAUGAAGGUCCUCUGGAUUGUAAACUUCUUUUAUCUGGGACGAAAAAAGGGUUUUCUAACCCGUCUGACGGUACCAGAUGAAUAAGCACCGGCUAACUCCGUGCCAGCAGCCGCGGUAAUACGGAGGGUGCAAGCGUUAUCCGGAUUCACUGGGUUUAAAGGGUGCGUAGGCGGGCAUUUAAGUCAGUGGUGAAAUACCUGAGCUUAACUUGGGAACUGCCAUUGAUACUAUUUGUCUUGAAUGUCGUGGAGGUUAGCGGAAUAUGUCAUGUAGCGGUGAAAUGCUUAGAUAUGACAUAGAACACCUAUUGCGAAGGCAGCUAACUACGCGAAUAUUGACGCUGAGGCACGAAAGCGUGGGGAUCAAACAGGAUUAGAUACCCUGGUAGUCCACGCCCUAAACGAUGAUUACUCGACAUUAGCGAUACACUGUUAGUGUCUGAGCG